RNAcentral lists this ribosomal RNA (497 nucleotides) under uncultured bacterium. Its description in RNAcentral is "partial 16S ribosomal RNA". It matches the Rfam family "Bacterial small subunit ribosomal RNA", at positions 28 to 507 of the family's 1533-position model. The record is from RNAcentral.
GAUGAACGCUGGCGGCGUGCCUAAUACAUGCAAGUCGAGCGAACAGACGAGGAGCUUGCUCCUCUGACGUUAGCGGCGGACGGGUGAGUAACACGUGGAUAACCUACCUAUAAGACUGGGAAAACUUCGGGAAACCGGAGCUAAUACCGGAUAAUAUAUUGAACCGCAUGGUUCAAUAGUGAAAGACGGUUUUGCUGUCACUUAUAGAUGGAUCCGCGCCGCAUUAGCUAGUUGGUAAGGUAACAGCUUACCAAGGCAACGAUGCGUAGCCGACCUGAGAGGGUGAUCGGCCACACUGGAACUGAGACACGGUCCAGACUCCUACGGGAGGCAGCAGUAGGGAAUCUUCCGCAAUGGGCGAAAGCCUGACGGAGCAACGCCGCGUGAGUGAUGAAGGUCUUCGGAUCGUAAAACUCUGUUAUUAGGGAAGAACAAAUGUGUAAGUAACUAUGCACGUCUUGACGGUACCUAAUCAGAAAGCCACGGCUAACUACGUG